UUAAUUUGACUUCGCGUGGUAUUCGGUAAGAAAAUUCCACACCAAAUUUGCAUUUGAAAAUCCAAAGCCGCAUGAACAGAUUAAUAGCGCGCCAUAGCUUUGUCAGCAAUUAUUUAGGCUUUCAAAUUCGUAAUUUCUACUCAUGGAAUACCAUUUCAAGGCAUGGGAAUACCAUUUCAAGAUAGAAAAUAGUAUAUUCUUCAAUUUUACAUAAGUUUUGAGUAACUACAAGUGAUAGAAAAUGAAUCAAAACUAAAUUAUGUAAACAAAUAGGCCGUUCCAAGAUGCUGUCAAAAUUAAAUCAAUAUGGCUACCGGAAGGCAAACAUUGAAUAUUAUUCUAUCAGGUUCUUAUGGUUUUAGAUCAUUUUAGUUGUUGUACAAAGAUUAAUUUAACAUUUUCUCUGGAAGUAUUAAUUUAGAAAGAUAAUAUGCCUCAUUGGUGUUGUGUUUUGAAGUGUGAAAUGCAAAGUAAUCGUGAUAAAGUUAGCUUUUACCACUUACCAUCAGUGCUACAUUCUAAGCACAAAACUGAACCAAUUUAACUAAAUAAGUUAUAGUUAUCAUCUGAGAGACAACAACAAUGGUAAAAUGCAAUAAAAUAUUAAGGUUUUACUAGCAAAAUGGAAAUUCCCCUGUAAUCAUCUUAUAUCUGGUAAGUUACAACAUUUGAACAUUAACCAUUUUUGAAGAUGUUAACAGUCUAAUCUUGUAGGAAAACCAGCCGACUUAACUGAUAAUAACAAUCCAGAUUGGGUUCCUUCAAUAAAUAUGGGGUAUAUAAACACAAUGAAAUGAGUUCCCCAAAAUCUAAAAUGGGAAUUAAGGUACCAAAGGAGAAUUAAAAGAAAAGGGUACCUACAAGAAAAAAUUGCUUUUUUAUUCCUCUUGAAAUGAUUUAUAAGACACUGGACUGUCUUAUAUUCUACAAAUACUAGAAUCAGCUGAGAGAAGUGGUCUAUAAAAACCCAGGAAGGAAACGGAAUAUGUGGCUACGAAAGGCAAAAGAAAGGUUUACAAAGCAAAUGUGACACAUUUUUUUGAAAUAUUUAGGAAUAUCAGUAAAUUGCAUUAAAAAAAUGUAUGAAAAGAUUUUGUUCAAUAAAAAUGUUUAUAUUUA
Long non-coding RNA from Diabrotica virgifera virgifera (western corn rootworm), 1119 nucleotides. RefSeq lists it as uncharacterized. The record is from RefSeq and is a predicted model, not a curated record. The transcript is spliced from 2 exons. NCBI's taxonomy places the organism in Eukaryota, Metazoa, Arthropoda, Insecta, Coleoptera, Chrysomelidae.